UGGGGAAUAUUGCACAAUGGGCGCAAGCCUGAUGCAGCCAUGCCGCGUGUAUGAAGAAGGCCUUCGGGUUGUAAAGUACUUUCAGCGGGGAGGAAGGGAGUAAAGUUAAUACCUUUACUCAUUGACGUUACCCGCAGAAGAAGCACCGGCUAACUCCGUGCCAGCAGCCGCGGUAAUACGGAGGGUGCAAGCAUUAAUCGGAAUUACUGGGCGUAAAGCGCACGCAGGCGGUUUGUUAAGUCAGAUGUGAAAUCCCCGGGCUCAACCUGGGAACUGCAUCGGAUACUGGCAAGCUUGAGUCUCGUAGAUGGGGGUAGAAUUCCAGGUGUAGCGGUGAAAUGCGUAGAGAUCUGGAGGAAUACCGGUGGCGAAGGCGGCCCCCUGGACGAAGACUGACGGUCAGGUGCGAAAGCGUGGGGAGCAAACAGG
Molecule: ribosomal RNA, 429 nt
Filed under: Chloroflexota bacterium
Lineage: Bacteria; Bacillati; Chloroflexota
Description: Chloroflexi bacterium partial 16S ribosomal RNA
Rfam family: Bacterial small subunit ribosomal RNA
Source: RNAcentral